GCGGAUGUAGCUCAGUUGGUUAGAGCGCCGGCCUGUCACGCCGGAGGUCGCGGGUUCGAGCCCCGUCAUUCGCG
Caulobacter segnis ATCC 21756 is the source of this 74-nucleotide non-coding RNA. NCBI's taxonomy places the organism in Bacteria, Pseudomonadati, Pseudomonadota, Alphaproteobacteria, Caulobacterales, Caulobacteraceae. The record is from Rfam.